GACGAACGCUGGCGGCGUGCCUAAUACAUGCAAGUAGAACGCAGAAGGAGGAGCUUUCUUCUCUGGAUGAGUUGCGAACGGGUGAGUAACGCGCAGGGAACCUGCCCGGUAGCGGGGGAUAACUAUUGGAAACGAUAGCUAAUACCGCAUAACAGUAGAUAACCCACGCUAUUUACUUGAAAGGUGCAAUUGCAUCACUACCAGAUGGUCCGGCGGUGUCUUAUCUAGUUGGUGAGGUAAAGGCCCAACAAGGCGACGAUACAUAGUCGCCCCGCGUGGGUGAACGGGCACAAUGGGACUGGAAAACCGCCCAGGCUCCUAAGGGGGGCAGCAGGAGGGGAGCUUCGGCAAUGGACCGAAGUCUGACCGAGCAACGCCGCGUGAGUGGAGAAGGUUUUCGGAUUGUAAAGCUCUGUUGAAAGGGAAGGACGAGUGUGGGAAUGGAAAGUGCACCCUGUGACGGUAUCUUACCAGAAAGGGACGGCUAACUACGUG
This 495-nucleotide ribosomal RNA is filed under the name uncultured bacterium. RNAcentral describes it as "partial 16S ribosomal RNA". It matches the Rfam family "Bacterial small subunit ribosomal RNA", at positions 28 to 507 of the family's 1533-position model. The record is from RNAcentral.